CCGAAUAUUAACAAAUUCAUUUUUGCUUUGUCCCUCGCCUCCUUGUCCUUUUUCGGGGAAUGAAGCGCAGAACGGACUCUGCUGCUAUAUAUUUAUCUGGAAAGGGACUCAGAGUGCUAAGGUCUUCAUAGGUUCUACUCAAGUAAAUGAAACAGUGAAGAAACACGAGAUGACGUACAACCGUACAAACCUCAACCCCUGGGCUGCCGACAUUGAACCAUAAAUCUAACAUUGACUACUGUGGGCCCUCACAGUUUUAAGAGAGGACACAGCAGCAAUACCAAAGUUCUUGCUGACCCAGGAAUGAACUGGUCGGCCCGUGAACCUAAAAAGGUUCAUUCGAACAGUUGGGACCCACAAAGGAGAAAAAGGUGUGGAUGGCCUCUUUCACAGUUCCCCAGUGGUCACUGGUGUAUGAGGGGUCAUGUCACGGCGGAGUAAAUCUACACGAGACUGAGGGCAAAGGUUUGUUGUAAAACCACUGGAGGGUUCAACUUGUGGUCAAGGCAAUAAGUCUCCUCAGCUGAACACGGGCAGAUUGUUCGCCCCCUAUCCCAACAACAUUAACAAACAAUGGUUUGAAGACACACGUUUUUAAAAUGUUGAUAUUCAAGCUAUA
Gadus morhua (Atlantic cod) is the source of this 619-nucleotide long non-coding RNA. RefSeq lists it as uncharacterized. The record is from RefSeq and is a predicted model, not a curated record. The transcript is spliced from 3 exons. Lineage: Eukaryota; Metazoa; Chordata; Actinopteri; Gadiformes; Gadidae.